This 312-nucleotide ribosomal RNA is filed under the name Triticum aestivum (bread wheat). RNAcentral describes it as "partial small subunit ribosomal RNA". The record is from RNAcentral. Lineage: Eukaryota; Viridiplantae; Streptophyta; Magnoliopsida; Poales; Poaceae.
AUGGCUAUUUCUGAGGCAUGCAAAGAAGCUAUCUGGUUGAGAGGUUUGUACACUGAGCUUUGUGGAGAUUCAUCAUGCCCUACCAUAUUUUCUGACAGUCAAAGUGUCAUAUAUCUUACAAAGAAUUCAAUGUAUCAUGAGAGGACAAAGCACAUCGAUGUCAGAUAUCACUAUAUUCGAGAUGUUGUUGCUGAAGGUGAUUUGAAGGUAUGCAACAUAAGUACUCAUGAUAAUCCUGCUGAUAUGAUGACAAAGCCAGUUCCUACCAAUAAGUUUGAGCUUUGCUCAGGCUUAGUUGGUAUUUCUCACUAG